GACGAACGCUGGCGGCGUGCCUAACACAUGCAAGUCGAACGGAAAGGCGCUGCUCUUGCGGGGUGCACGAGUGGCGAACGGGUGAGUAUCACGUGUGUAUCCUGCCCUUGACUUUGGGAUAACUUCAGGAAAAUGGGGCUAAUACCGGAUAGGAGCUCCUGCAGCAUGGUGGGGGUUGGAAAGUUUCGGUGGUUGGGGAUGGACUGGCGGCUUAUCCGCUUGUUGGUGGAGUAGUGGCUUACCAGGGCUUUGACGGGUAGCCGGCAUGGGAGGGUGGCCGGCCACAUUGGGCCUGAGAUACGGCCCAGGCUCCUACGGGAGGCAGCGGUGGGGAAUAUUACACAAUGGGCGGAAGCCAGAUGCGGCAACGCCGCGUGCGGGAUGACGGCCUUCGGGUUGUAAACCGCUUUCGCCUGUGACGAAGCGUGAGUGACGGUAAUGAGUAAAGAAGCACCGGCUAACUACGUG
RNAcentral lists this ribosomal RNA (468 nucleotides) under uncultured bacterium. Its description in RNAcentral is "partial 16S ribosomal RNA". It matches the Rfam family "Bacterial small subunit ribosomal RNA", at positions 28 to 507 of the family's 1533-position model. The record is from RNAcentral.